CGGAGGAUCCAAGCGUUAUCCGGAUUCAUUGGGUUUAAAGGGUGCGUAGGCGGAAUGAUAAGUCAGUGGUGAAAUCUCUUCGCUUAACGAAGAAACUGCCAUUGAUACUGUCAAUCUUGAGUACAUUUGAUGUGGGCGGAAUGUGUCAUGUAGCGGUGAAAUGCUUAGAUAUGACACAGAACACCGAUUGCGAAGGCAGCUCACAAAACUGUAACUGACGCUGAGGCACGAAAGCGUGGGUAUCAAACAGGAUUAGAUACCCUGGUAGUCCACGCUGUAAACCAUGAUUACUCGAUGUUUGCGAUACACUGUAAGCGUCUAAGCGAAAGCGAUAAGUAAUCCACCUGGGGAGUACGCUCGCAAGAGUG
This 368-nucleotide ribosomal RNA is filed under the name uncultured organism. RNAcentral's name for it is "bacterial SSU rRNA". It matches the Rfam family "Bacterial small subunit ribosomal RNA", at positions 526 to 896 of the family's 1533-position model. The record is from RNAcentral.